GGGCUCACACAAGCGGUGGAGGAUGUGGCUUAAUUCGAGGCUACGCGAAGAACCUUAUCCUAGUCUUGACAUGCUUGGAUUAACCCCAUGAAAGUGGGGCCACGCCUUCGGGUGGAACAAGCACAGGUGCUGCAUGGCUGUCGUCAGCUCGUGUCGUGAGAUGUCGCGUUAAGUCGCUUAACGAGCGAAACCCUUGUCUCUAGUUGCCAGCGAGUAAAGUCGGGGACUCUAGAGAGACCGCCGGCGUUAAGCCGGAGGAAGGUGGGGAUGACGUCAAGUCCUCAUGGCCCUUAUGACUAGGGCUGCACACGUCCUACAAUGGAUCGCACAAAGGGAAGCAAAGCCGCGAGGUCGAGCAAA
Molecule: ribosomal RNA, 360 nt
Filed under: uncultured bacterium
Lineage: Bacteria
Description: bacterial SSU rRNA
Rfam family: Bacterial small subunit ribosomal RNA
Source: RNAcentral